GCUCCUAUCCCGCUCGGCGGCAAGCGCCUGGUUCUUAACUCCCUUCAGCGGCCUCGCACGCGCGCGGUUCCAGCCCCGGCCUCCUCCUCGUCGGCUUGGCUGUGGGGCCAUGGCGUGUCGGCGGCGGCCCGAGGCUGGCGUCGGGGCCCGCGGCGCGCUGGCGCUGCUGGCGCUGGCUCUGAACGUGCCGGGGGCCAGGGGCCGGGCGCUCGAGUGGUACUCGGCUGUGGUGAGCACCGAGUACGUGGACCCGCACACGAACCGCACCGUGUGGAGCGUCUCGGAGAGCGGCCGCUUCGGCGACAGCUCGCCCAAGGAGGGCGCGCAGGGCCUGGUGGGCGUCCCGCGCGCGGCGGACCGCGACCCCGAGGGCUGCGCGCCAGACACUCGCUUCCUCGUGCCGGCGCCCGGCGGCCGGGGGGACGCGCCCUGGGUGGCCCUAGUGGCGCGCGGGGGCUGCACUUUCAAGGACAAGGUGCUGGUGGCGGCGCGGAGGAACGCCUCGGCCGUGGUCCUCUACAACGGGGAGGGCCACGGGAACCUCACCACGCCCAUGUCCCACGCGGGAACUGGAAAUAUAGUGGUCAUUAUGGUGAGCUACCCAAAAGGAAGAGAAAUUUUGGAUCUGGUGCAGAAAGGCAUUGCAGUGAAAAUGACCAUAGGGGUUGGCACCCGUCAUGUACAGGAGUUCAUCAGUGGUCAGUCUGUGGUAUUUGUGGCCAUCGCCUUCAUCACCAUGAUGAUUAUCUCAUUAGCCUGGCUGAUAUUUUACUAUAUACAGCGUUUUCUAUAUACUGGCUCACAGUUUGGAGGUCAGAGCCAUAGGAAAGAAGCUAAGAAAAUCAUUGGCCAGCUUCCACUUCAUACUGUAAAGCAUGGAGAAAAGGGAAUUGAUGUUGAUGCUGAAAACUGUGCAGUGUGUAUUGAAAAUUUUAAAGUAAAGGACGUUAUUAGAAUUCUGCCAUGCAAGCAUAUUUUUCAUAGAAUAUGCAUUGACCCAUGGCUUUUGGAUCACCGCACGUGUCCAAUGUGUAAACUUGAUGUCAUCAAAGCCCUGGGAUAUUGGCACAUUCAUUCAGCAUGUAUCAAAGGAGUGCUCUCUCAGGUGCUAGAUUGGACCUUGACUUGGGGAGACAAAGAUGAGUAAGACGCAGCCCUUCUGGUUGUGGACUUUCACUUUCUGGACUGUGAGGGCCAGGGCAUACACCCACGCACAACGCUGCAAAGGAGGUAUGUUUGAAGUGCCAAGGAGCACAGAGAAAGGAGGAAAUGACCCCGCCAGGUAGAGUGGGAAGAUAAGAGGGUGGUUUUUUUAAGAGGGGAGUCUGAGCUGGGUGUUACAGGAUUUGCCUGCCAGAUCAGUACAUUGCAGAUGAGGGUGUGACCAUGUCUGGCUUUGAGACUGGCAGGUGGUUAAGUUUGGCGGGUAUUUUGGUAACUCUCUGGGAAAACAGAUGAGGGUGGGCUGGGUGGGAGUUUGGACAUUACGGCUACUCAGUAGGAUUUGUGGUUUGAUGUGUCUGGAGUCUGUUCUGAGGGUAUUCAGUUACUUAACAGUGAGAAGGAGGCAGCGUACCAUGUGGUUCAGGAGGAGGGCUGUUCUAGAACUGGGUGGGGCAGCAGCGGGAGGAGCCCUCCGGUGUGCCCUUGCCCCGGAAGCCUGGGGAGGGAGGUGGAACCAGCACCAUGUUCUUGGCAUGAACCUCGGGCUCACUGUGAACGGACAGCCACCCCUCCUUUACUAGGUUACCUCACAAGUGGUUUCCUCUCACAGCAUGACUCUGACUCUGGCAUUACUCAGAAAGGUAUCUGGAUAAACCUCUGAGACUGGGCUGUCACUUUCCUUACCCUGUUUUUUUCUUUAACACAGCAAAUGGGGGAUAGACACUGUCUUGAGCUGAUAGAAUCCACAACGGAUUCUUCUAAAGUGAAUCAAAUGCAGUCUGAAGCCCUCUGUUGUCAGACACUGUGUUCUUCUGAAACCCUGGUGCCCACAGUAAGACAGUAGGGCAGUUUGAGGCAGUCAUCCAAGAUCACAGCCACAGCCAGGCUGAUUCACACCCCCUGUUCAGGAAGCAAGGAAAGUGUGUUUGACAAAGGUUUAGAGUUUAAAAGGUGGCAUUGCUUUCAUCAAGGGGAAAAGCAGUUUUUCAAAUAAACAGUGUUUAGGUCUUGGAAAGCUGCCUAUUGAGAAGUAAUUCAUUUUCUGAUGUUGCUAAUAAAGAAGACGUUAGUGUUUUUGCCCUAUAUUGUGUAUAAAAGUAAAUACUUUGUAGGAAUUAUGAGUAAUGAUUACGAAAUGAUAGAUAAGCUUUGACUAUGUUAUUCAGACAAGGUAUUUUCUUUUGUUCUCUCAAGGGAGAGCUUGAAGAUGUGCAGGAGACGCCUGCUCCAGAACCUACCCCUGGGAGUGUUUUGGUGGCAAAUCUGAGUAUCAGUUUACAAGAUGACAGAAGUGAGGGGAGCAGUUUGCCCUCGUCUUCCACUAGUGAUUCUGCACCACCGUGUGACGCCAGUUUCAAAGAAGAUGCAGGUGAAAACACAGCCUUACUAGAAGCGGGCAGGAGUGACCUGCAACGUGGUGGACCCAUCUCCUCGCACACAUCCUGAUGACCACAUCAUGGAUAGAGCUUUGGCUCGAAUUAAAGGACUUUUUUUUUUAACUUCAGCACAUAGUUUGUAUAUUUGAAAAUAAUGUACAUUCUUUUACCUUUCAGAUUUUGAUUUGAUAUCCAAAGGGCUAUUUUAUUCUUAAAGAGACAUUUUGAUUAGUUUUAAUAUAUUUAUCUACUAAAAUGUAUCAUUUAUGAUAAACAGUAUGUUGCUUUGGACUAUUACAGAGACCAUUAGGAAGGCACUCUAAAGGUCGGGGUAUGUUUCUGAAUAGUAGACUAGCUGCUACGGUACUGUAAAAACAGGAUUAAUUUUGCUUCUCAAGGAUGAUUUUAGACUGAGCAACUGAAUUUAGACCAGUGGAAAUGCAAUUGUAUAAUUCAGUGAUUGAUCAUGAGUUUUCCCUGGAGGAAAGACUUUUCUAGAACAUUAAACCUGUGAAUGAGAUGAGAGAAAUCUAUAGCUUUCUUGAACCUCCAUGUCAUCAUCCAGAGACGUUGAAAUCUAAGAAGACUUCUUCAUUAUUUUCUCUUGGAAUUAUAGGAAAAGCACUAGAUGACUUUAGGAUUUGCAGUUUUCCUUUUUAAAUCCUAAUUUCUUAUGACACUUAAAGGAGAGGGAAAUUUGUCCAUUUUUUCUACAAAUUAAAAAAGCUAAGAUUCGUCUGCAUCACACUUGAGCAAUAAAUUUUUCAUUGCCUUAAAAUUUAAAAAAAAAUUUUUUUUCAUUGCCUUAAGGAAAUCGAGUAGGCAGACUUUUUUUUUUUUAGUAUAUGAUGACUGUAUUGGUCCCAACUACUAUUUAAUCUUUACAACUAAAAAGGUAAUAGAUGGAGAAUUUUGAUUGUCCCUACAAAAUAAACAAGCAACCAGUUUUCUUGAUUGAUUUAAAGCAGACUUAAUGAUGACCUUGUGUCAUCUAUCCUUUUUAAAAUCUUGGCUGUUCUUGUAGGUGAAAGGGUCAGGUUAAUGUAAAGCUUUUGGAAAUUGUGCUCUUAAGUUUUCUAAAAUGAUUAAGCACACACAUAGUCUUCUCCCUCUUGGAGGUGAAAGUGGAGGAGGGUGAGGGAGAGUUACCUCUUAACUGUUGUCCUUUGUUCCUUCUAAGCUAGUUGCUGUGUAUAUCUUUAUUUUGUGAGUAAAAAAUAAAUGUCUGUUGAGAAAAAUACAACUUUUAAAAAUCUAAAGAAUUUAUUCUUAAAGCUGCAUCUAAGUUGUGUAUAGCUUAUUUUUUUAAAACUGUUUGUUGCACCUGGAUUCUAGCCAUAGUGAAACACUUGGUGAGUUUUACUUUUUCUUUUUUUCCACUUUACUGAAGUAAACUCUGGCCAGGUUCAAUUUGAGGAGCUGCUGAAAUAGAAAAUUUGUCUUUGAGCUCCAUUUUAACAGCCUCAAAUCAUAGGCAGUGUGUGAAGGAAGCAGCUUGGCUGUGAACUUGAAGCACUCCGUCAUCUGCUGCCUGCUGGCACUGCUUCUGGGUUUCCCUCCAGAAAACCACAAAGGCCAGGAGUGGUGCAAAAAAACAGAGCACCUUCAGCAGGUGAUCUGAAGAUUUUACAGCUAGAAACUGGAGCUAGAAAAUCCGGAGAAUUCAAGCUGUGUUGUUUUAAACAUGGCAGUAUCUUGAGCUACAUUUAAAAGCUGAUUACAGUUAACUGAAUUCCAGGAUUGUAAUUUAUUUCAGAAGGUGUUUCUCCAGUAUCCAGUGUCUUCAACAAACGAAAAAGGCCAGCAGCUUCUCGUA
RNA transcript from Enhydra lutris kenyoni (northern sea otter), 4356 nucleotides. It is a transcript of the gene named ring finger protein 149, with no coding region annotated. The transcript has 10 exons. NCBI's taxonomy places the organism in Eukaryota, Metazoa, Chordata, Mammalia, Carnivora, Mustelidae. The record is from RefSeq and is a predicted model, not a curated record.